RNAcentral lists this ribosomal RNA (465 nucleotides) under uncultured bacterium. RNAcentral's name for it is "bacterial SSU rRNA". It matches the Rfam family "Bacterial small subunit ribosomal RNA", at positions 329 to 792 of the family's 1533-position model. The record is from RNAcentral.
UUCCAGACUCCUACGGGAGGCAGCAGUGAGGAAUAUUGGUCAAUGGCCGAGAGGCUGAACCAGCCAAGUCGCGUGAGGGAAGACGGCCCUACGGGUUGUAAACCUCUUUUGUCGGGGAGCAAAGCGAGUCACGUGUGACUCAUUGAGAGUACCCGAAGAAAAAGCAUCGGCUAACUCCGUGCCAGCAGCCGCGGUAAUACGGAGGAUGCGAGCGCUAUCCGGAUUUAUUGGGUUUAAGGGGUGCGCAGGCGGAGGCACAAGUCAGCGGUAAAAUCGCGGGGCUCAACCCCGCUCCGCCGUUGAAACUGUGUCCCUUGAGUGCGCGAAGGGUAGGCGGAAUGCGUGGUGUAGCGGUGAAAUGCAUAGAUAUCACGCAGAACUCCGAUCGCGAAGGCAGCCUACCGGCGCCAGACUGACGCUGAGGCACGAAAGCGUGGGGAUCGAACAGGAUUAGAUACCCCCGUA